GGUUUCGUGGUGUAGUGGUUAUCACGUCUGCUUAACACGCAGAAGGUCACGAGUUCGAGCCUCGUCGAAACCU
Transfer RNA from Lottia gigantea (owl limpet), 73 nucleotides. It matches the Rfam family "tRNA". Rfam says of the family: Transfer RNA (tRNA) molecules are approximately 80 nucleotides in length. Their secondary structure includes four short double-helical elements and three loops (D, anti-codon, and T loops). The record is from Rfam. Lineage: Eukaryota; Metazoa; Mollusca; Gastropoda; Lottiidae.